UCAGGGCUGCUCGCUCUUCUUUUGCAGCUGUCACAGGACUCCUCUCUAGCAUUCACCAGCACUGACCACAAAGCCCCAGAUCCACUCUUUCUGGAAGUCACAAUUCAUCAAACAUUUCUUGAGCCACUCCAUUAUGCAAGACCCUAGGCUGGGUUCUAGGAAGACAGAUUGAAGAAGGAUAGGGGAGAAACGUGGCCCCUGCACUCACAGAGCUUAUAGUCUGAAUUGGGUCUUGGAACAGAAGUUUCACACUGGAUCAAUGAUAGGAGGAACACACAUGAUUUUGAUGCUGCUUCUCUAGGGAUCCUGAAGCUAGCCAGUCCCUUUGGAGUCUGUUCCUCUUUUCAAGUACAACCAUAAUCAAAAAUUCAGAAUUGGAAGGCAUCUUUGAAACCAAAGACAAUUCGACAUCAAUUAUAUAUGUGCCACUCCUGAUGUCUGGAAGACCCACCUCUUGAUCAGAGCGAGGUCAGAGUCCUUCAGUUGGAGAAGCUUUGAAAGGAACAUCCUAAGAAGCAUAAAAGUGAAUCACGAGAGGAAGAGAAGUCUUUAUUUCUGGGAACUGGGAGUGAGAAGGAUGUUUGAACAGAGCUCCUGGGCUUGGAGGAGACUUGUGAAGGGAAAGCUGGCAACCUCUGCCUGGUGCCUUUUCCUUCUCUGCCUGCUUUUUGUUAUUUAAUAAAUAAUUAAAAAUUAAGCUACAGUCUCCAG
RNAcentral lists this long non-coding RNA (711 nucleotides) under Monodelphis domestica (gray short-tailed opossum). RNAcentral's name for it is "lncRNA (ENSMODG00000046938.1)". The record is from RNAcentral. Lineage: Eukaryota; Metazoa; Chordata; Mammalia; Didelphimorphia; Didelphidae.